UUAGAGUUUGAUCCUGGCUCAGGACGAACGCUGGCGGCGUGCUUAACACAUGCAAGUCGAGCGGUAAGGCCUCUUCGGAGGUACACGAGCGGCGAACGGGUGAGUAACACGUGAGCAAUCUGCCCUCCACAUUGGGAUACCCCCCGGAAACGGGAGCUAAUACCGGAUACGACCACUUCAGGCAUCUGAUGGUGGUGGAAAGUUCCGGCGGUGGAGGAUGAGCUCGCGGCCUAUCAGCUUGUUGGUGGGGUAAUGGCCUACCAAGGCGACGACGGGUAGCCGGCCUGAGAGGGCGACCGGCCACACUGGGACUGAGACACGGCCCAGACUCCUACGGGAGGCAGCAGUGGGGAAUAUUGCGCAAUGGGCGAAAGCCUGACGCAGCGACGCCGCGUGGGGGAUGACGGCCUUCGGGUUGUAAACCUCUUUCAGCAGGGACGAAGUUGACG
RNAcentral lists this ribosomal RNA (449 nucleotides) under uncultured bacterium. RNAcentral's name for it is "bacterial SSU rRNA". It matches the Rfam family "Bacterial small subunit ribosomal RNA", at positions 1 to 456 of the family's 1533-position model. The record is from RNAcentral.